This 403-nucleotide ribosomal RNA is filed under the name uncultured bacterium. RNAcentral describes it as "partial 16S ribosomal RNA". It matches the Rfam family "Bacterial small subunit ribosomal RNA", at positions 30 to 526 of the family's 1533-position model. The record is from RNAcentral.
AUUGAACGCUGGCGGCAGGCCUAACACAUGCAAGUCGAGCGAGCGGCGGACGGGUGAGUAAUGUAUGGGGACUGCCCGAUAGAGGGGGAUUACUACUGGAAACGGUGACUACUACCGCAUUCUAGCGAAUAACCCAUAUGGGAUUAGCUAGUAGGAGGGGUAAAUGCUCAACUAGGCGACGAUCUCUAGCUGGUCUGAGAGGAUGAUCAGCCACACUGGGACUGAGACACUGCCCAGACUCCUACGGAGGCAGCAGUGGGGAAUAUUGCACAAUGGGCGCAAGCCUGAUGCAGCCAUGCCGCGUGUAUGAAGAAGGCCGUAGGGUUGUAAAGUACUUUCAGCGGGGAGGCGUUACCCGCAGAAGAAGCACCGGCUAACUACGUGCCAGCCGCCGCGGUAAUAC